GGCACGGUAGUGUAAUGGCUAGCACAACAGAUCAAAGUAGUGUCCCUCGCAGCAGGGGCGGGCAGAUUUCUGCUUGAUGUUUCCUGGCCGGCGUGUACCCCCGAACUUCUGUAGUUCUCAGUUCGAAUCUGAGUCGUGCCA
RNAcentral lists this transfer RNA (141 nucleotides) under Venturia inaequalis. Its description in RNAcentral is "tRNA-Phe". The record is from RNAcentral. Lineage: Eukaryota; Fungi; Ascomycota; Dothideomycetes; Venturiales; Venturiaceae.